AUGCUCCGGCUCCGCCACACCGUCCUCUCCCAGCUCCUCUCGUCUUCCCCCGCCUCUCCCAUCUCCCACCUCAGCCGCCUCUUCUCCGCCGUCUCCCCGAACCCUAGCUUCGCCGUGGAGGAGUAUCUCGUCGCCACCUGCGGCCUCACCCGACCCCAGGCCCUCAAGGCCUCCGCCAAGCUCUCCCACCUCAAGUCCCCCGCCAAUCCCGACGCCGUCCUCGCCUUCCUCACCGGCCUCGGCCUCUCCGGCGCCGACGUCGCCGCCCUCGUCGCCAAGGACCCGCAGUUCCUCUGCGCCAAAGUGGAGAGAACCCUGGCCCCCGUCGUCGCUGGGCUCACCGGCCUCGGCCUGUCACGUUCUGACAUCGCGCACCUCGUCUCGCUCUCCCGUGACAAAUUCCGAUGUAGAUCCAUGGUCUCAAAUCUGCAGUACUUCCUGCACCUCUUCGGCUCCUUUGAGAACCUCCUCCCUGCUCUCAGGCGCGGCUCAUGCCUUCUCUCAGCCAACAUUGAUACAGUGGUCAAGCCCAAUGUUGCGUUCCUGCGAGAGUGCGGGCUAGGUGACUGUGACAUUGCCAAGUUGUGCAUCGCCGAGCCAUGGCUGCUCGCCUCAAACGUAGAGUGCGUGUGGGAAAUGGUGGCACGCGCCCAAGGUAUUGGUGUGCCCUGUGUCUCUCGGAUGUUCAGGCACGCGUUGCGGGCUGUUGCAUUCCUUAGCAAGGAGAAAAUCGCCGCCAAAGUGGAGCACUUGAAGAAGACGUUCAGGUGGUCUGAUGCCGAGGUGGGCAUUGCUUUGUCCAAGCUUCCAAUUGUGCUGGUGAGGUCUAACCAGAUGCUGGAGAGCAGGUCAGAGUUCCUAAUCUCUGAGGUGGGGUUUGAGCCAGCAUACAUUGCUCAUCAUCCGGCAUUGCUCACGUACAGCCUGGAGGGCCGGAUCAUACCCCGGUACUAUGUUGUAAAGUUUCUUAAGGAAAAUGGACUGCUGGAUCACAACCGGAGCUACUAUUCUGCAGUCAUGGUGAUGGAGAAAGUAUUCGUGGACAAGUACAUAUGCCCUCACAAGGAAGUUGCACCAUACCUUGCUGAAGACUAUGAUGCCGCUUGCAGAGGGGAGGUGUCAACUAGAUUCAAAUUUACAUGA
Molecule: ribosomal RNA, 1143 nt
Filed under: Triticum aestivum (bread wheat)
Lineage: Eukaryota; Viridiplantae; Streptophyta; Magnoliopsida; Poales; Poaceae
Description: partial small subunit ribosomal RNA
Source: RNAcentral